GGGUGCCACCAGCUUGUCCUGGGGGCCAGCAAGGCCCGGAGGAAGCUGUAAGCCCCGCCGCGGGCCGGGCGUGGCGGGCCCAGCACAGCGGCCCCAGAGCUCAUUUCCUGCCGGGCGGGGCUGAGCUCGCAGCGGCUCAGCCCUGAGCCCUCGGAACCCCGGCCGCGGCUUCCACACUCAUCGUCCUUCGGCUUCUCAGCAGUAAAGCCCUCCUUGCUAAUCCCUGUGCUGGGGAAGAGGCUCUCAGCUCCCGCAGCCCGGCAGCCCACGGGGAGAAAUGGAUGGGGAGUCCCGGAGCACCCACAGCUUCUGCUGAGAUCUGCUCCCUCUGGGUCCUCAAGGUUGGUGUUUUCAUGCACUCUCUCCAGAUAAAAAUUCAUCUGCUUGUCCAAAGCAUGCUGUUCUGAGCUGGAUGCUGUUUUCUGAUCAAAGAGUGUGCCUAAUAAAUUCCUCCAAUUUGUCAUCCAAAGCAGCCUUUCCUACUUUUGGCACUAUGUGGAAGCUGAGGGUGGAUCCAAGAAGCACAAGACCAAUCCUUUUUGUGCUGCUCAGCAUCUUCACGUGUGCAUUAGCCUAUGAGCAAACUGUGAACCUCACAAUGCUGAAAUCCCAGGUCCCAACAAUUCCUGGGGCUGUCCAGCUAUCAGGACAAGUAAACUGUGAUGUAAGAGCUGCUCUUCUGUCUCUGUGA
Molecule: long non-coding RNA, 691 nt
Filed under: Taeniopygia guttata (zebra finch)
Lineage: Eukaryota; Metazoa; Chordata; Aves; Passeriformes; Estrildidae
Description: lncRNA (ENSTGUG00000019210.1)
Source: RNAcentral